GGCCUACCAAGGCGAUGAUGGGUAGCUGGUCUGAGAGGACGACCAGCCACAUUGGGACUGAGAUACGGCCCAGACUCCUACGGGAGGCAGCAGUGGGGAAUAUUGGCCAAUGGACGCAAGUCUGAGCCAGCGACACCGCGUGGGGGAUGAAGGCUUUCGGGUCGUAAACCCCUUUUCUGGGGGAAGAAUAAGGUCGGGAGGAAAUGCUCGUCCGAUGACGGUACCCCAGGAACAAGCAUCGGCUAACUCCGUGCCAGCAGCCGCGGUAAGACGGAGGAUGCAAGCGUUAUCCGGAAUUACUGGGCGUAAAGGGCGUCUAGGCGGUCAGGUAAGUCACCUGUGAAAGCCCUCGGCUUAACCGGGGAAGGUCGGGUGAUACUGCUUGACUUGGGUGUAGGAGAGGAGAGUGGAACUCACAGAGUAGCGGUGGAAUGCGUAGAUACUGUGAGGUACCCCGAUGGCGAAGGCAACUCUCUGGCCUACCACCGACGCUGAAGCGCGAAAGCGUGGGGAGCAAAGGGGAUUAGAUACCCCCGUAGUCCACGCCCCAAACGAUGUUCACUUGGUGUCGGCCGCUUAUACAGGUCGGUGCCGAAGCUAACGCGUUAAGUGAACCGCCUGAGGAGUACGGCCGCAAGGCUAAAACUCAAGAGAAUUGACGGGUCCCCGCACAAGCGGUGGAGCACGUGGUUUAAUUCGAUGGUAAGCGAAGAACCUCACCUGGGCUUGACAUACUAGUGGUAGAAACUGGAAACAGGGACGACCCUGCUUCGGUAGGGAGCUAGUACAGGUGAUGCAUGGCUGUCGUCAGCUCGUGUCGUGGGAUGUAGGGUUAAGUCCCGAAACGAGCGCAACCCUUGUCGUUAGUUGCCAGCGGGUAAUGCCGGGGACUCUAGCGAGACUGCUGGUGAAUAGCCGGAGGAAGGCGGGGAUGACGUCAAGUCAUCAUGUCCCUUAUGCCCAGGGCGACACACAUGCUACAAUGGGAGGCACAAAGGGUCGCGAAGUCGUGAGGCGGAGCCAAUCUCAAAAAAACCUCCCUCAGUUCGGAUUGAGGUCUGCAACUCGACCUCAUGAAGCCGGAAUCGCUAGUAAUCGUAGGUCAGCCACACUACGGUGAAUAUGUACUCGGGGAUUGUACACACCGCCCGUCACACCAACCGAGUGGGGGGUACCUGAAGUCGCCCUUCUUAGGGCGCCGAGGG
This 1205-nucleotide ribosomal RNA is filed under the name metagenome. RNAcentral's name for it is "bacterial SSU rRNA". It matches the Rfam family "Bacterial small subunit ribosomal RNA", at positions 262 to 1462 of the family's 1533-position model. The record is from RNAcentral.